UUGAAAGAGACUGCAUUCGAAAGAGAAGGAUUCAAUACCUGGAAAUCUCAUUGCGUUUUAAGGUUGUUGAGUAUCGUGGUGAGCAAAUAGGAGGUCUUGAGGAUCUGAGGGAACCAUAUAUGUUGUUUUCUUCCUUUAUAGAUAAAUUCUUGCUUAGCUUUUAUUACAUGGUUUGCGUCUAAUUGAAAACUUCACGUCUUUGCCCAUUUCAGGUUCUUACAAAAUCGGUACUGCGUCUGAAUCUGUUAAUGCAGCUUACAUAUUUUCUAGAAAAGAUCUUUCUCGGCCUGCUAUACAGAUUCCCUGCGC
This is a long non-coding RNA of Lathyrus oleraceus (garden pea), 309 nucleotides long. RefSeq lists it as uncharacterized. NCBI's taxonomy places the organism in Eukaryota, Viridiplantae, Streptophyta, Magnoliopsida, Fabales, Fabaceae. The transcript is spliced from 3 exons. The record is from RefSeq and is a predicted model, not a curated record.